Molecule: RNase P RNA, 374 nt
Filed under: Gemmatimonadota bacterium
Lineage: Bacteria; Pseudomonadati; Gemmatimonadota
Description: Gemmatimonadetes bacterium RNase P RNA component class A
Rfam family: Bacterial RNase P class A
About the family: Ribonuclease P (RNase P) is a ubiquitous endoribonuclease, found in archaea, bacteria and eukarya as well as chloroplasts and mitochondria. Its best characterised activity is the generation of mature 5'-ends of tRNAs by cleaving the 5'-leader elements of precursor-tRNAs.
Source: RNAcentral
GCGGAGGGAAACGGGGUCGCGGAUCGGCUGCAAGGCUCGGUUCGAGGAAAGUCCGGGCUCCGCAGGACUUGGUGCCGGGUAACGCCCGGGCGCCGCAAGGCGACGGAAAGUGUAACAGAGAACAGACCGCCGAUGGCGGCACUUGUGCCGCACAGGUAAGGGUGAAACGGUGGGGUAAGAGCCCACCGCGCGCGCCGGAGACGGCCGUGGCACGACAAACCCCACCAGGAGCAAGGCCAAGCAGGAGCGAGCGGUGGUCCGCCGCGUUUGAGCUCCGGGUAGGCCGCAUGAGGCGACGGGUAACCGGCGUCCCAGAUAGAUGACCCCACGGGCUUCGGCCCGUUACAGAACCCGGCUUAUUUCCCUCCGUCGUC